AGCGUCCUACGGGAGGCAGCAGUGGGGAAUAUUGCACAAUGGGGGGAACCCUGAUGCAGCAAUGCCGCGUGGGUGAAGAAGCACUCCGGUGCGUAAAGCCCUGUCAGCAGGGAAGAAAAUGACAGUACCUGGACAAGAAGCCCCGGCUAACUACGUGCCAACAGCCGCGGUAAUACGUAGGGGGCAAGCGUUAUCCGGAUUUACUGGGUGUAAAGGGAGCGCAGGCGGCGUGGCAAGUCAGAUGUGAAAACCCGGGGCCCAACCCCGGGAGUGCAUUUGAAACUGCCAUGCUGGAGUGACGGCGG
RNAcentral lists this ribosomal RNA (305 nucleotides) under uncultured bacterium. RNAcentral describes it as "bacterial SSU rRNA". It matches the Rfam family "Bacterial small subunit ribosomal RNA", at positions 333 to 655 of the family's 1533-position model. The record is from RNAcentral.